Molecule: ribosomal RNA, 310 nt
Filed under: uncultured eukaryote
Lineage: Eukaryota
Description: partial 18S ribosomal RNA
Rfam family: Eukaryotic small subunit ribosomal RNA
Source: RNAcentral
CCCUUAGAUGUUCUGGGCGGCCCGCGCACUACAAUGGCGCUUUCAGCGAGUUCCUAUGUUGAAUUUUCCUUGGUAUUCUUGGAAGCGGCGUCUUGACUUGGGAUAGAUCCUUGUAAUUGUUGGUUUUGAACGAGGAAUUCCUUGUAAUCGCGGUUGAUCAGCUCGCGUUGAAUACGUCCCCGCCCUUUGUACACACCGCCCGUCGCUCCUACCGAUGAAUCGUCCGGUGAAGUUCACAGAGUGGCGGUUCGUGGAGUUGCUCGCGAAGUGAAAUGGACCUCACGAUUUAGAGGAAGGAGAAGUCGUAACA